GCAUUGGUGGUUCAGUGGUAGAACUCUCGCCUCCUGCGCAGAAGACCUGGGUCCGAUUCUCGGCCAACGCA
RNAcentral lists this transfer RNA (71 nucleotides) under Danio rerio (zebrafish). It matches the Rfam family "tRNA". From Rfam's summary of the family: Transfer RNA (tRNA) molecules are approximately 80 nucleotides in length. The record is from Rfam by way of RNAcentral. Lineage: Eukaryota; Metazoa; Chordata; Actinopteri; Cypriniformes; Danionidae.